Mauremys mutica (yellowpond turtle) is the source of this 482-nucleotide long non-coding RNA. RefSeq lists it as uncharacterized. NCBI's taxonomy places the organism in Eukaryota, Metazoa, Chordata, Testudines, Geoemydidae. The transcript is spliced from 3 exons. The record is from RefSeq and is a predicted model, not a curated record.
CCAGAAUUGUAAGCCAGAGGUGGAGCCAGGGAUUAGUACUGGAGAGAUGGAAGCUGAAUGGCAGAACAAGAAGGUCAGCCAUAGUUGUAAGCAAGCAGCAGAACCACAGACUGAAGCCAGAAGUCUGGAGUUGGAGGGAAGAGGAGUGGAAGCAGGGACAUACAUAGCUGAAGGGAAUCUAGCUGAUAAUUGGAAAAGCGUAUGAACAGCCAUUUCAAAUCUACAUGCCAUCGAGCAUAACAGAGUUGGAACAUAGACCAAAGAAAUGAAAGGCAGAAUCAAAGGAAGUAGCAACACACACAAGAUAAUAUGAAGAGACCUUUCUCAGAAAGAGAUAAAUAAUGAAAUAUAAAGACUUUGGGAUGACUGAUACCAUUGUUAUAACUCAAACUGCACUUCCAAAGAAAAUGACCAGGGGAAGCCGACAUUUAAUGUAGACAUUAAACCUGCACAAUACUAAAAUAGAUGUCAGAAGAAUCCAG